Gossypium arboreum is the source of this 108-nucleotide non-coding RNA. NCBI's taxonomy places the organism in Eukaryota, Viridiplantae, Streptophyta, Magnoliopsida, Malvales, Malvaceae. The record is from Rfam.
AUUCCAUGAUGAGGGCACUUCCAUAAUAAUUCUUUGUACCUUUCUCAUGCCUCAUACAAGGACUCACCAUCCACUUUUUUGGAAAGUAGUGAUCUUAUUCCUCAACUU